AGACCCGAAACCCGGUGAUCUAGCCAUGGGCAGGUUGAAGGUUGGGUAACACUAACUGGAGGACCGAACCGACUAAUGUUGAAAAAUUAGCGGAUGACCUGUGGCUGGGGGUGAAAGGCCAAUCAAACCGGGAGAUAGCUGGUUCUCCCCGAAAGCUAUUUAGGUAGCGCCUCGUGAAUUCAUCUCCGGGGGUAGAGCACUGUUUCGGCUAGGGGGCCAUCCCGGCUUACCAACCCGAUGCAAACUGCGAAUACCGGAGAAUGUUAUCACGGGAGACACACGGCGGGUGCUAACGUCCGUCGUGAAGAGGGAAACAACCCAGACCGCCAGCUAAGGUCCCAAAGUCAUGGUUAAGUGGGAAACGAUGUGGGAAGGCCCAGACAGCCAGGAUGUUGGCUUAGAAGCAGCCAUCAUUUAAAGAAAGCGUAAUAGCUCACUGGUCGAGUCGGCCUGCGCGGAAGAUGUAACGGGGCUAAACCAUGCACCGAAGCUGCGGCAGCGACACUGUGUGUUGUUGGGUAGGGGAGCGUUCUGUAAGCCUGUGAAGGUGUGUCGUGAGGCAUGCUGGAGGUAUCAGAAGUGCGAAUGCUGACAUAAGUAACGAUAAAGCGGGUGAAAAGCCCGCUCGCCGGAAGACCAAGGGUUCCUGUCCAACGUUAAUCGGGGCAGGGUGAGUCGACCCCUAAGGCGAGGCCGAAAGGCGUAGUCGAUGGGAAACGGGUUAAUAUUCCC
RNAcentral lists this ribosomal RNA (732 nucleotides) under Salmonella enterica. Its description in RNAcentral is "partial 23S ribosomal RNA". It matches the Rfam family "Bacterial large subunit ribosomal RNA", at positions 711 to 1440 of the family's 2925-position model. The record is from RNAcentral. Lineage: Bacteria; Pseudomonadati; Pseudomonadota; Gammaproteobacteria; Enterobacterales; Enterobacteriaceae.